RNAcentral lists this long non-coding RNA (1104 nucleotides) under Cyanistes caeruleus (blue tit). Its description in RNAcentral is "lncRNA (ENSCCEG00000008264.1)". The record is from RNAcentral. Lineage: Eukaryota; Metazoa; Chordata; Aves; Passeriformes; Paridae.
CCAAGUUUAGGCUGCAACAGCAGUGAAAACCAGCUUUGAGGAAAGGAAUGGUUGAAGCUGAAAGAAGGGCUUAGCUGAGAAAUCACUGCACGUGGAAAGAGUUGGGUUUGCUGCAGUUUGCUCCAAAUCCAGGUACCACCAAGACAGAAAAAUUCCAGCUUCUCUUUUAAGGUUGAACACAGGCACCAGCUUAUUUUCUUGGAGGGAAGAUAUUUAGGAGAAAAAAAAAUCCCUUUAACAGGUAAUUUAAAUUUCUGGAAUGUUACCUUUCUUUUGAGAACUAAAGCUGUAACAAAAUCCAUCUUCUUCAAGGCUUUGCUGGGGCACUGGGGGGCUCCUGCUCCUGUGGGGUGCUCACUUGAGGCCAGGGCUGGUCUGUAAGGGCUGUGGGGACAUCCUGCUAGUGGCCACAGGGCCAGGCAGGGUCUGGAGCACCUGGCACAGCUGGGGGGGCUCACCUGGAGCAAAGGAGGCUCAGGGGGGACCUUGUGGCUCUGCACAACUCCCUGACAGGAGGGGAUAGCUGGGGGCAUCAGGUUCUGCUUCCAGGGAACAGCAGGAGGAAAAAGGGCUUCGAGUUGUGCCAAGGGAGGUUUAGAUUGGAUAUUGGGAAAAUUUCUCGAUGGAAAGUGUCUGGUCCUGGCACAGCUGCCCAGGGCAGUGAUGGAGUCCCCAUUCCUGCAUGGAUUUAAAAUCCACGUGGAUGUGGCACUGAGUGACAUUGGUUAAGCGGUGGCCUUGGGGAACAGCUGGACUUGAAAACCUUAAAGCUUUCCUAAACCUAAACCUUUCCAUAAUUCCAUGAGACUGACUUGGAUCGAGCAGAGCACCAGGACACGGGGCUGUGACAGGGGGCAGUGAGGAGAGGACAGGACAGGACAGGAGAGGAGACAGGACAGGAGAGGAGACAGGACAGGAGAGGAAACAGGACAGGAGUGGAGUGGACAGAACAGGAGUGGAGUGGACAGAACAGGAGAGGACAGGGCAGCACACAGAUGCUGUGGCCGGUGGGCUGCUGCGUGCCCGGCGGGCGGUGCCUUUAAGGGGCGGUCGCGGGGCGGUGGCUGUGGCGGGGCCGGGGCGGCCGCGGUCCGGGUUCCCCCC